RNAcentral lists this long non-coding RNA (1038 nucleotides) under Serinus canaria (Common canary). Its description in RNAcentral is "lncRNA (ENSSCAG00000001907.1)". The record is from RNAcentral. Lineage: Eukaryota; Metazoa; Chordata; Aves; Passeriformes; Fringillidae.
GGGGCUGUCCAGGGGCUCAGGGACCAUUCCAAGGGGGGCCCAUCCCAGGGCUCAGGGUUCAUUGAGCGGUUCAGGGGGGCUGUUCCAGGGGCUCAGUGGGGGCUGUUCCAGGGGCUCAGGGCCCGUCCCAGGGCUCAGGGGCCAUUCAGGGGCUCAGUGGGGGCUGUUCCAGGGGCUCAGGGGCUGUCCCAGGGUUCAGGAGCAGCUCUGAGCCCCCGUCCCUGCAGGUGGUGCCGGGCUACGGGCACGCGGUGCUGCGGAAGACGGACCCGCGCUACACCUGCCAGCGGGAGUUCGCCCUCAAGCACCUGCCCAAGGACCCCCUGUUCAAGCUGGUGGCCCAGCUCUACAAGAUUGUCCCCAACGUGCUGCUGGAGCAGGGCAAGGCCAAGAACCCCUGGCCCAACGUGGAUGCCCACAGCGGGGUCCUGCUGCAGGUGAGCCCAGGCUCCUUCCGUCCCUGUUGCUGUUAGUCUGUCCUUGUCACUGGAUCCCUUUGCAUGUCCACAUCCCUCUCCCUGUUCUGUCCUUCCUCUUGUCCAUGUGUCCUUCUCCCUGUCUGUCCCUUGCCCUGUGUGUCCCUCUCUCUGUGUUUCUGUGUUCUCCAUUCUGUGUGUCCCUCUCCCUGUCUGUCCCUCUCCCUGUCUGUGUGUCCCUCUCCCUGUGUGUCCCUCUCUGUUUUCCUCCCUGUCUGUCCCUCUCCCUGUCUGUCUCUCUAUGUUCUCCCUGUCUGUCCGUCUCCCUGUCUGUCUGUCCCUUUUCCUGUCCCACCCUCCCCCUGUUGCUCUCUCCCUCUCCUUGUCCAUUUGUCCCUGUCCCACCUGUCCCUUUGUCCCUGUCCCACCUGUCCCUCUCUCUGUCCCACCUGUCCCUCUGUCUGUCCCCUGGGGGUCUCCUGUGUGCCCCGUGCCCACUCUGAGCCCCCUCCCCUGCUCUGUCCCCAGUACUACGGCAUGAAGGAGAUGAAUUACUACACGGUGCUCUUCGGUGUGUCCCGGGCUCUGGGCGUCCUCUCUCAGCUCAUCUGGAGCCGAGCUC